RNAcentral lists this ribosomal RNA (1295 nucleotides) under Enterobacter hormaechei. RNAcentral describes it as "partial 23S ribosomal RNA". It matches the Rfam family "Bacterial large subunit ribosomal RNA", at positions 721 to 2028 of the family's 2925-position model. Lineage: Bacteria; Pseudomonadati; Pseudomonadota; Gammaproteobacteria; Enterobacterales; Enterobacteriaceae. The record is from RNAcentral.
CCAUGUGACCUACCCAUGAGCAGGUUGAAGGUGCGGUAAGACGCACUGGAGGACCGAACCAGGGCACGUUGAAAAGUGCUUGGAUGACUUGUGGGUAGCGGAGAAAUUCCAAACGAACUUGGAGAUAGCUGGUUCUCUCCGAAAUAGCUUUAGGGCUAGCGUCGACAUUAGAGAUUCUUGGAGGUAGAGCACUGUUUGGGUGAGGGGUCCAUCCCGGAUUACCAAUCUCAGAUAAACUCCGAAUGCCAAUGAAUUAUGGUCGGCAGUCAGACUGCGAGUGCUAAGAUCCGUAGUCGAAAGGGAAACAGCCCAGACCACCAGCUAAGGUCCCAAAAUAAUUGUUAAGUGGAAAAGGAUGUGGGGUUGCACAGACAACUAGGAUGUUAGCUUAGAAGCAGCUAUUCAUUCAAAGAGUGCGUAAUAGCUCACUAGUCGAGUGACCCUGCGCCGAAAAUGUACCGGGGCUAAAACAAUUUACCGAAGCUGUGGAUACCUUUAUAGGUAUGGUAGGAGAGCGUUCUAUGUGUGAUGAAGGUAUACCGUGAGGAGUGCUGGAACGCAUAGAAGUGAGAAUGCCGGUAUGAGUAGCGAAAGACAGGUGAGAAUCCUGUCCACCGUAAGACUAAGGUUUCCAGGGGAAGGCUCGUCCGCCCUGGGUUAGUCGGGACCUAAGGAGAGACCGAAAGGUGUAUCCGAUGGACAACAGGUUGAUAUUCCUGUACUAGAGUAUGUAGUGAUGGAGGGACGCAGUAGGCUAACUAAAGCAGACGAUUGGAAGAGUCUGUCUAAGCAGUGAGGUGUGAAUUGAGUCAAAUGCUUAAUUCUAUAACAUUGAGCUGUGAUGGGGAGCGAAGUUUAGUAGCGAAGUUAGUGACGUCACACUGCCAAGAAAAGCUUCUAGCGUUUAAACAUACUCUACCCGUACCGCAAACCGACACAGGUAGUCGAGGCGAGUAGCCUCAGGUGAGCGAGAGAACUCUCGUUAAGGAACUCGGCAAAAUGACCCCGUAACUUCGGGAGAAGGGGUGCUGACUUUAAGUCAGCCGCAGUGAAUAGGCCCAAGCAACUGUUUAUCAAAAACACAGCUCUCUGCUAAAUCGUAAGAUGAUGUAUAGGGGGUGACGCCUGCCCGGUGCUGGAAGGUUAAGAGGAGUGCUUAGCGUAAGCGAAGGUAUGAAUUGAAGCCCCAGUAAACGGCGGCCGUAACUAUAACGGUCCUAAGGUAGCGAAAUUCCUUGUCGGGUAAGUUCCGACCCGCACGAAAGGCGUAAUGAUUUGGGCACUGUCUCAACGAG